GCUUACGGCCAUACCAGCCUGGGUACCCCUGAUCUCGUCUGAUCUCGGAAGCCAAGCAGGGUCAGGCCUGGUUAGUACUUGAAUGGGAGACUACCUGGGAAUACCAGGUGCUGUAACCA
Salmo trutta (river trout) is the source of this 119-nucleotide ribosomal RNA. The record is from Ensembl. NCBI's taxonomy places the organism in Eukaryota, Metazoa, Chordata, Actinopteri, Salmoniformes, Salmonidae.